GUUUCAAAUGCAAUCACUGGCUUUAAAGGAAAACGCACAGACCCAUCGGACCACCGCUGAGAGGAGAAUCCUCACCUGUUCCUUAUUCCUUGGAUUCUGAGUCCUCACUGAACCCUCCUCUCUGCCAAGGACCAGAAGGGCUGGACAGGAUUGUGCUGUGCUGCUCGAGACGAGAGGGCCAGGGCCUUGGAAAUGCGUCAAGAGCAAGAAGACAGGAGGAAACAGAG
RNAcentral lists this long non-coding RNA (227 nucleotides) under Sus scrofa (pig). RNAcentral's name for it is "lncRNA (ENSSSCG00015060289.1)". Lineage: Eukaryota; Metazoa; Chordata; Mammalia; Artiodactyla; Suidae. The record is from RNAcentral.